ACGCGCUCAUCUUCCUCAAUUGCGGGCUGCUGUGGGUCCUCUGCGCGGGGUCGCUCGCCUUGGUCAUCGUGCGCCUUGCCCUGGGUCAGGUCGAGGUCCCCCCCGCGCUCUGGGCGGCGUCCUGGGUCUCCAUUUACUUCCUUAUGUUGCUCGGCCCCGUUGCCUGGUUCCUCGCCGGCGCGCGCUCCUCGCGCUCCCCGUACACCACCACUGACGCCAACAAGGACUUGAUGGGGAUCCUUGUUCCGGGGGCCUUCAUUCUGCUCGCAAUUGAUUAUGAUAAGGUGGCGGGUCUGUUGGGUGUGGAAGGAUCUCAGAGGGAACGGACUGGUUCAAUAGUGAGGGAUUUGGGGUUAAUGGGUGCUGGUGCAACAUGUUUGGUCACCUUAACAACUAUGAUACUGAGGCAAUGGAGGAUGAAGUAGAGGGUUAUGUGGUUGUGUUGUUGAGCCAUAACCCUGAAUGGAUGGUGUUAAGAUGGACAAGACAAAUACAAGAGCCGACUUUUUGCUGAAGUUUAUGGCCACGGAUAAGUACUGGAUUUUAUUUAGUUAGUUGCAUGUAUUCACGACUGUAGAUUGAUCCACUACUAGUAUUGAGUACUCCAUGUGCUAGGAGCUCUCAUUUGACAUUAUGACGUUGAAGUGUUUACUUGCUGGCUUGCUGCUGGGAAGCCUGGAAUACAUGACCAGAUGGUGAGGGGUAUACCACCCUCCAAGAGGACAAUGCUUUUGUAGGCAUAUAGAAUUUGCCAUGUUGGUAUUGUUAUGUUCGAUGACUACCAUUUCUUCGCAAGAGCACCCUGUGGCAGUUACUGUAGAAUAUUAUGUUUGUAGUGAUCACUGAUGUUACCGAUCUACAGAUUUGUGGAGUAUGAGCAUGUUCAUUUUCUUU
Molecule: long non-coding RNA, 894 nt
Organism: Triticum dicoccoides
Lineage: Eukaryota; Viridiplantae; Streptophyta; Magnoliopsida; Poales; Poaceae
Exons: 3
Source: RefSeq, a predicted model, not a curated record